CCUCUUUCUGCCAUGUAAGGACACAGUGAGAACACACCAUUCGCAAGCUGGAAGAGAACCCUCCCAGACCUACGGGCACCUUAAUCUUGGACUUUCAAUCUUGAGAACUGGUCACAGACCUUUGAGAGGAGAAAAUCGAAACCUUCAACUGCCAUUUUACCUGCAGGAAACUCUCCACUCCCUGAACACAAAGAUGCUCUGUCAAAUGGGCAUGCCCCUCUGAGGCAGAAGAGUGAAGCUUGAACGAGAGAAAACAGGCUGGAGAAGAGAGGAUGGGCAGGGAGAAAAGCAAGAGCCACGCAUGAAAUAGAAGAUAAGUGUGUGAUCUCUGCGUCUUCACACAGAGCUGAGUGGCCAUCAUCCUACAAUUACCGUUAUCAGAGAACCAGGGCCUAGAGGAAGAACGCCUGAUUGGGAGUCAGAAGUCUUCUUUCACACCAUACAGACUUGCUUGGGCAAGUAACAUAACCUCUCUGAACCUCUGUAUUUUUCUUGUCUAGAUGGGGAAAA
Molecule: long non-coding RNA, 510 nt
Organism: Zalophus californianus (California sea lion)
Lineage: Eukaryota; Metazoa; Chordata; Mammalia; Carnivora; Otariidae
Exons: 4
Source: RefSeq, a predicted model, not a curated record